GUGUGCUGUCGGCUGCGAGAAAGUUUCCAGGUCCCACAGUGUUUGGUAGGCGCUGCCUUCGGCGCGCAGCACACGGGAAUGAAGAGCGCCCGACCUGUGCUGUGACUCUACGGCUUAGUGGGCGAGACCGACGGGAGGUGGAUGAGGUAGGAGGUGCCCAGUGUCUUCCUUGAGGAGUGUCGCGAGCAGAUCUUUUCUAGGGCUAUGGAGUCCAGAAUGGUGCGCGGCUCUUCCUCGUUUCUCAGCCCCGACCAGAGCUCCGGAGUUGGCUUACACCGUCCUGAGACUCCUCUAUUUGGGUGUCAGUUUGAGAUUGGAAGUUUGGUCCGGGUCUUCCUCCAGAUUGGCUGAGCCCUCAGUGCACGUCAGGAAGGUGUGAGAGACGCUACCUCUGAUCUGCCGAUCCGAUCGAUGUUGGAAAUGUCAUACACGUCCGCCACUGCCUCGGUGUCCACGCCACCCGUGCCACGCUUCUGGAGCCUGAGGUUCUCCAAGAUCUUAGAAAAACGUGGGUCCUAUGACGAGGGAUAAGACUUAAGUGUCCUGAGAAGCAAACACAGUCACCAGCACUGGUACAUUCACUGAGAAAGGACGGAUAAUGAAAAUAGUAGCUGUUAAUAUUUAUAAAGCAUUUGUUCACUACGCAGGAGGCUCUGUGCUGGGACUGAGAACCGCCUAUGCAGUAGGUGUUGCCUGCACUCCUGCCUUAGUCUGCUUUCUGUUGCUGUAACACCGCAGUGGAGACCAGGCAAUUUGUGAAGAAGGGAAGCUUAUCUGGUUCACACCUGGGAAGUCAACAGCCUAGUUCCAGUCUCUGGUGAGGAAGCCAGUAGGGCAUCCAUGGCAAGCCCGAGACACGUGCCAUCCCAGUCUGUCUUCUUCAGAGCCACUGAGGUCAUCGUGGGUCCAGAACCGCAUGACCUUACUACUACCCCCAGAGCUGCCACCUCCAGUACAUAGGCACAGGACCUUGGGGAUUACAUUUCUGUCGUGCACAUCUAAGGGACACAUGGCACCCUCAGCAACCUCCACUGCACAGAUGCAAGGAGCUUCAGAGGACUUCUGCUCAGAGUCACGCAGCUAGGACGUGGCAGCACUGGGACUGAACCUGUGUAGUCCUGACUCCAACUUUAUGCUCUUAACGUCCACAUAUUUUUUGCAUAGGGAUGCCAACUUCGAUAUGUUUGAUAUCACUCAUGUGUAUAUCACUUGUCACUGUUAUAAUUGAAAUCAAGAAGUUCAAUCACUUCACUUUCUAGGCACUGGAAUAACAAAACUUCUCAAACUAUCUUUGGGGGCAGGCAGCAUAUUUUCUAAAAUUGUUUUUAAAGUAUCUGAUUUGCCGGGUGUGGUGGCACAUCUCUAUAAUCCCAGGACUUGGGAGGCUGAGGGAGGAGGAUCACCAAAAGUUUGAGACCAGCCUGGACUACAUAGUGAAUUCAAGAACAGCCUGAGCUACAUAGCAAGACCCUGUCUCAAAAAAAAAUUUUUUUUUAAUUUACUUGGUAUACAGUGGCAGAAACUGCUAGUUACUCAGCAGAGUCCUCUACCUCUUCUUCCAGUGUUGGAGCUGAGGAAGCCCCUGCUCGCUGGCUACGUCUGUGCUCAUGGCGUGAGCAGGGGCUAUGAUAUGGUUGGUAGCUGGAUGUCCUCCCAGAGCCUCACACGCUCACUGCAGGGCUCUUGCAAGCUGAGUGGAUUGUGGGGGCCUAGAGCUGCCCUGCUGUUCGGAGCUGGGGCUGGAGGAACGAAGUGGGUCACUGGGCUGUUCUCCUCCCUGCUCUUUGCUUCCUGUCCCCCAUGCCGAGAGCAGCUCUCCUCCACCCGGCCCUCGCCCUUAGCCAGCAGGCUAUGAGCCAAACAAGCCUGUCUUCCUUUAAGUUAUGGGUGCCGGGUACUGUGUCUAGCAGCAAGAAAUGUGACCCAGACAGGACGUGUGCCACUUCCAGGCUGAGAUGUCCAUCUUGGCACGGCCACACUUGCCUGGACGCUGUCCCCUCCCACUCGCUAGGACAGGGGCCUGCUGUGACCAUGUAAAGGGGACUGUGCCCGAGACAGUGGUCCUCCAAGCUUGGUACCUCGAGUCCUAGCCUCAGCGUCACCGGAAUCUUUCAGAAAUGGCAAAUUCUGCAGUGGGGCGGGAUUUGCACUGACCACGCCCCAGGCCGCUCCUAAGCACACCUGACCCUGAGAACGAACUUCUGGGUUAAAGGAGACAGGGAGGCGGGAGGCACCUGCCAAGCUGAGCAGCCCGCUUGCUACCCUAGUGUCACCCGACGGAGCAGCCACUGUGUCUCUGUCACAGCUGCUGGCCGUUGACCCCAGUAGUACAGACAGCUUUUCUCUGACAGUGGAGAAACUAGGUCAAGGACCCCAGGGUGGCCCCGUCUGAGCCGUCCCGGGAUGGGGAGCCUACCGGUGGGCUCACAGUACCUUGCUGAGCUUCGGGAUCCGCACGUGGACACCGGCCCGCAGUCCGGUCCCCAGGUUGGACGGGCAGGUCAGGAUAUACCCCAGACGCUCGUUCCACAUGAACUCCCAGCCGCGCUCCUGGAUCAGCCGCUCCACCUGCAAGUGGGACAGCGCUGGACACACGGCAGGGUCCCCCAGUGCCCGUCCUCGCAGCUCGCCCACCCCGACCUGGGGCGGGAUGUGGGUGCCAUGCAUGAAGGCGAGGUGCAUUCACAGGACUUCAACAUAAAAAGAGGCACAUUAGAGUGGUCCAGUUAGAUGAGGCGAGCCUUGUAAAACACUGGACAGCAGGUACUGCCCUCUCAGUAAUGCCAUCUGAUGUUCACUGUUGCACCAGGACAGCAGGAGAGCACGGAUUCACAGCAGCUACGCCCACACCGGGGACGUUGGUACCACCUGGGUGCUGAGGACAGCGGGAGAAAACGCCCAGGAGCACCGAGGUCCCCACAGCACGUGUGUGGGAGAUGGGAGCCUCCCCUGGAGGAGUCGCCUGCUCUGAACCGUUGGGCUGGGAGCCCACUCCCCAGAGAGUGUCUUGGUCCAUGGAAGAAAGUAGCCCUGUCUUGCAAGUUACCAUAGUGGCUUUUUAUAGAAUAAAAAGCAGAGACGUCUUA
Molecule: non-coding RNA, 3086 nt
Organism: Heterocephalus glaber (naked mole-rat)
Lineage: Eukaryota; Metazoa; Chordata; Mammalia; Rodentia; Bathyergidae
Source: RefSeq, a predicted model, not a curated record